UUUUGAACUAGUACUCAACAAAUAUUUUGUUAUUACCCAAUGACAGGAUUCUGAGUGCAGCCACCUGAUUACACAGCUUGCUAGAGUCUAAUUUCCUAACCAAAACACAGAAAUUCCCUAAAACUCAAGGCAGAUGGAAUGCAGCAAUUAAAGGUCCUCUUCAGUAACGAAGGGAGAUCCCUCCCCGCCCAUACACACCCCCGAACCCCAUUUCUGCAAGUGUAAACACAAGAGUGGGCAGCAGAGAAGCUGAAGCCUUGGGACACAAAGAAGAUUUCAGCUACUGCCAGAAACAAGCCCCCAAACACCUUCCCAAACAGCAAACAAAAGAUGGCAUCUACAGAACGGGAAUGACAACCCCUAAAAAUACAGCCCACAAACUCCAGAGACGUUUGCAGCAGCUUCUCCCCCCCUCACCUCAAUGCGGAGCGUGCAGCUCUCAGAGGCACUGCAACCACUUGGCCAAGUCAAAAGAAAGUUUUAAAACAUUAUUUGCCAGAAGACCACUUGUGGACUUCACAAAACACCCGAAAUUCCCAAUUUGACAUCUGGACCUGCUGCUGGGAUGACCACUCACUCUGCCUCCAACUUGGGCUCACAAAUCUGCUCGAUAUAGUAUUUUUUUUAAUACUCAGAACAAAACACCAGACACAUAAAAAAGCUUAACGCAUUAAAUGAUAUUAUCUGCUGAAGCCCAAUAACAACUCCUUUUUUUAAGAGCAUAACACUAUUAUUGACACCACACCUAAAAGAAGCCAACUUCCAAGAAAGAAACCCUUCUGCAGCAAAACAGAAAGAACGAGUUGCAAUGCCUUAUCACCACAGCAGAAGCCACAGUCCAACUUUAAUUAAGGGAAAAGAUAAAUACCAACAAGAGAAGGAAAUUCCCAAUAUCGCAACCAAAACGACGGAAUUGCUAUGGAUAAGACUGACCCCAAAACAAUGUGCUUUAAAAUAAACCAGGCGCAUCAGCAUUA
This is a long non-coding RNA of Dromaius novaehollandiae (emu), 977 nucleotides long. RefSeq lists it as uncharacterized. NCBI's taxonomy places the organism in Eukaryota, Metazoa, Chordata, Aves, Casuariiformes, Dromaiidae. The transcript is spliced from 2 exons. The record is from RefSeq and is a predicted model, not a curated record.